This 502-nucleotide ribosomal RNA is filed under the name uncultured bacterium. Its description in RNAcentral is "partial 16S ribosomal RNA". It matches the Rfam family "Bacterial small subunit ribosomal RNA", at positions 28 to 507 of the family's 1533-position model. The record is from RNAcentral.
GACGAACGCUGGCGGCGUGCCUAAUACAUGCAAGUCGAACGAACCGCGACUAAGUGCUUGCACUCAGUCAAGGUGAGUGGCGAACGGGUGAGUAACACGUGGGUAACCUACCUCAUAGUGGGGGAUAACAGUCGGAAACGACUGCUAAUACCGCAUAGGACAUAGGAUCACAUGAUCCAGUGAGGAAAGGUGGCGCAAGCUAUCGCUAAGAGAUGGACCCGCGGUGCAUUAGCUAGUUGGUAGGGUAAAGGCCUACCAAGGCGAUGAUGCAUAGCCGACCUGAGAGGGUGAUCGGCCACAUUGGGACUGAGACACGGCCCAAACUCCUACGGGAGGCAGCAGUAGGGAAUCUUCCGCAAUGGACGCAAGUCUGACGGAGCAACGCCGCGUGAGUGAAGUGGGUCUUCGGAUCGUAAAGCUCUGUUGUUAGAGAAGAACAGCGCAUAGAGUAACUGCUAUGCGUGUGACGGUAUCUAACCAGAAAGCCACGGCUAACUACGUG